Myotis davidii is the source of this 414-nucleotide RNA transcript. It is a transcript of the gene named plakophilin-4, with no coding region annotated. The transcript is spliced from 4 exons. NCBI's taxonomy places the organism in Eukaryota, Metazoa, Chordata, Mammalia, Chiroptera, Vespertilionidae. The record is from RefSeq and is a predicted model, not a curated record.
CUGCUUGAUUGCAGGAGGAAUGCCAGCUCCUGAGCAGGCCUCACUGGUGGAGGAGGGGCAACCACAGAUCCGCCAGGAAACUGCCUGCACUGGCCCAGGCAUGGAACCCGAGACCACAGCCACCACUAUUCUAGCUUCUGUGAAGGAGCAGGUGUUUACAUCCCUGAGUACAUUGGGAUGACUGGCAUGUAGAGCUGCUCCAGGUGCCAGUCAGAAUCGGAACAUGCAGGAUACUUGUGCGUCUGCAAGAGCUUCAGUUUCAGCGACUCACCCGAGAACUGGAGGUGGAAAGGCAGAUUGUUGCCAGUCAGCUAGAAAGAUGUAGGCUUGGAGCAGAGUCACCAAGCAUCGCCAGCACCAGCUCAACUGAAAAGUCAUUUCCUUGGAGAUCAGCAGGUAUGAGUUUUUAUCAUA